CCUACGGGAGGCAGCAGUGGGGGAUAUUGCACAAUGGGGGAAACCCUGAUGCAGCGACGCCGCGUGGGCGAAGAAGUAUUUCGGUAUGUAAAGCCCUAUCAGUAGGGAAGAAGAAAUGAAGGUACCUGAGACAGAAGCACCGGCUAAAUACGUGCCAGCAGCCGCGGUAAUUCGUAUGGUGCAAGCGUUAUCCGGAUUUACUGGGUGGAAAGGGAGCGCAGGCGGCACGGUAAGCCUGUUGUGAAAGCCCGGGGCCCAACCGCGGGACUGCAUUGGAUACUACCGGGCUGGAGUGCCGGAGAGGUAGGCGGAAUUCCUGGUGUAGCGGUGAAAUGCGUAGAUAUUAGGAGGAACACCAGUGGCGAAGGCGGCUUACUGGACGGUGACUGACGCUGAGGCUCGAAAGCGUGGGGAGCAAACAGGAUUAGAUACCCGGGUAGUC
RNAcentral lists this ribosomal RNA (442 nucleotides) under uncultured bacterium. RNAcentral's name for it is "partial 16S ribosomal RNA". It matches the Rfam family "Bacterial small subunit ribosomal RNA", at positions 338 to 795 of the family's 1533-position model. The record is from RNAcentral.